Molecule: long non-coding RNA, 2296 nt
Organism: Anser brachyrhynchus (Pink-footed goose)
Lineage: Eukaryota; Metazoa; Chordata; Aves; Anseriformes; Anatidae
Source: Ensembl
AUGGCCAAAAAUACAAGAGGAACAGAGCACAGAGCCCAAGCCCUGGUGCUUACAGCCUGCCAGAGGAGUGACCAAGCAGGGAUUGAAGGCAGCAGAGGUCCCUCAACCACAGGACGCAAUGAACAAGUUUGUCACACGCUUCUACAUCCAAAACCAGAGAACAGGUGGCCUGGCCUUUUCAUUUUUCGGUCACUGGCCCACAUCAGCCCCACAGGAGAAGGGUCUCAGAUCUUUUCCAUUACCAGUCCUGAUGGUGUCUGACUUCUGUAUUUAAUAUACAUCGAUGUCCUAGCUCCUCGAAAGCCGCAGCAAAACAGCAAAUGUGGAAGAACGUAAAUUUCUCAGCUGAACAAAACCCACCAUUUGUACAGCUGAGCCGAUGUUUCUUUGUAAUGUAGGUUACUGUGACAGCUCGGGCACGUCUGAACGAGGUUCUGCAUUAGCAGUCAUGCUAAAGGACAAGUGUUUCACAUGUGCCUGUCACUGCAGUAGCUGGACUUUCUCUUUUUGUGCAGCAAAGCGACUGCAAGCAAGACAUUGUAACAGACUCCACAGCAGAUUCCACAUCGCUAAUGACACUGGAAGUCUGCGAAACUGGUGUCUAUCAACAACAUCUCUUGUGCUAAAUUAAUGACAUGUACCAGAAGCAAUGAAAGAAGAUUGUUGCCUUGGUCCAAUCUGGGUCCUGUGCUGCAGAAACAGAAGAUGAUGGAGCUUUUCGGGGAGAAACAUUCAGUUCUCCAACCAGCUUUUGUUGUUGUUGUUGUGUUUUUUUGUUUUGUUUUGUUUUUUUGAACAAACCACGGCACCAAGCCCCAGUUGCUUUCCAAUUCUUCUCCAAUCCUCUGGUGAAAUGCUCAGGUGAAGAAACAAAGUGUAUUGCAAAGAAUGCUGCCUUGGUGUGGAAAGUGCAGUGCUCUCCUCCAGAGCUGACUUAAGCACGUAGAAGUGGGAAGACCAUGUCCCUGUUCUUUAGUGAGGUCAGAGUUUGCAUAUCGGUGGAAAACGCUUGAGAUCCAGCAUCCCAAUGUAGAGGUUUCCCCCAGCUUGUCUGGAGAACCAAGGCAAAUACUUCUACCUGGAUCCUGAUGUCUUCAUAACUCCAAACACCUUGAAGAUAGAUGAUAUGACAGGAUGCUAGGGCAUCCCUCGAGACUCCUUCGUGCUGUGAGCCAUGAUGGAGUACUCCAUUAAGCUGAGGACAGGAGAAGCUAUCAAAGAGCUGGCAGCUUUGCUCAGCCUCUGCCUGUGACGAACGCUGAGCCCCUCAGGGGUGUGAUGACUGUCAUUCAAGCUUCUUCUCCAGAUGCCUGUGUUUGACACUUCCUCCACAGUGCCACCCCCAUGUGCCCAAAGGUAAACGAGUACCUUAUAAUUCAGAUUGCCUUUUUAAAAGCAACCAGACACACCUGUCCCUUGGUGUUACUGGCUGCAGAAACUGUCCUGCCUUAGCUUCAUUAGACCACGGAGCCAACAGGUUUGUAUGUACUGUAUUUUGAUCAGCUUAUUUAAUCGAGCUUCUGUGGUGGGGAUGCAGCACCAUCUUCUAACACCUUUUUUUCAGCCAAAUCAGCAGAGCUUAGCUUCCCUCUACCCACAAGUUGAGCACAGAGCUCUAUCCUUCAGUACCUGAACAGACUCCCAAUUACCUUGCAGUCAGAAAUACGAAUUCUUCCAGCACAGUAUGAAGUACAAACAGUAUUUUGUGGGGACAAGCUUGCCCAAAUGGCAUCUCCAGACAAAUAUAAACUCUCAGGUUAGCCUGCACAGGGUGGCCAGCACACCAGCAGCAUCCUCUAACUUCCGAUGUUGCUUUUUCUAAAUUGCGUGUGAUGUUCCCAUCCUCCUAAGAGAUUUAAGUGAAGGAUGGGGAACCAGGAUGUCCAGAUGUGUAUGCAGUGUGAUGGUCCUGCUCAUUUCCCCUCCAAGUCUGUGGAUGGCACUGAGGGAAAAAUCUGGGCACUAUAUGUUUUCUCUCUCCUUUUGUACUCUUGCUGAAAAAGCAAAACAGCACAAUACCAACCUGCUGGGGUGUGUUUUGUGUCAGUGUUACGAUUUUUUUUCUGAAAGGCAGUAGAAGGGCCUCACAGUGUAUUUGGUGCCAUCCCAUUAUAUUACAGUUAUGGAAUUUCUUACUUCAGGAAAAUGCCAAACAUCCCAAGCAGAGGUGCUUUAUGGCAGAGCUGGGUGGGUUUGGAUUUCAACAGCUGAAUGUAACUGCUGGUGGGUUGAUGGUAGAAAACUUCAAGCUCUCUUUCUUUCCUUUAUUAAAAAUAAAUGAUUUAGACAGACAUCA